GACGAACGCUGGCGGCGUGCCUAACACAUGCAAGUCGAACGGAAAGGCGCGGCUUUUGCGGGGUUUUCGAGUGGCGAGCGGGUGUGAAACACGUGAGUAUCCCGCCCUUGACUUUGGGAUAUCUUCAGGAAACUGGGGCUAAUACAGGAUAGGAGCUCCUGCUGCAUGGGGGGGGUUGGAAAGUUUCGGCGGUUGGGGAUGGACGCGCGGCUUAUCAGCUUGUUGGUGGGGUGGUGGCGUACCAAGGCUUCGACGGGUAGCCGGCCUGGGAGGGUGACCGGGCACAUUGGGACUGAGGUAGGGCCCAGACUGCUACGGGGGGCAGCGGUGGAAAAUAUUGCACAAUGGGCGGAAGCCUGAUACAACGACGCCGGGUGCGGAAUGACGGCCUUCGGGUUAGAAACCGCUUUCGCCUGUGACGAAGCGUGAGUGACGGUAAUGGGUAAAGAAGCACCGGCUAACUACGUG
RNAcentral lists this ribosomal RNA (468 nucleotides) under uncultured bacterium. RNAcentral describes it as "partial 16S ribosomal RNA". It matches the Rfam family "Bacterial small subunit ribosomal RNA", at positions 28 to 507 of the family's 1533-position model. The record is from RNAcentral.